Molecule: small RNA, 274 nt
Filed under: Arabidopsis thaliana (thale cress)
Lineage: Eukaryota; Viridiplantae; Streptophyta; Magnoliopsida; Brassicales; Brassicaceae
Description: ATSL089470
Source: RNAcentral
CUAGUCAUAUUUGACUCCAAAACACUAACAAAAGUUCUUCUUGCUUCUCAAAGCUUUGAUGGUGUAGGCAAAGUCCGUAUGAGUCUUUGGCUUUGUAUCUUCUAACAAGGAAACACUACUUAGGCUUUCAAGAUCGGGUUGCGGUUCUAGUUCUCAUACUCAUUCAUACACAUGACAUCUACUCAUAUUUAACUCUAAAACACUAACCAAGCUUCUUCUUGCUUCCCAAAGCUUCGAUGAUGUAGCCGAAGUCCGUAUGAGUCUUUGGCUUUAU